Mus caroli (Ryukyu mouse) is the source of this 521-nucleotide non-coding RNA. Lineage: Eukaryota; Metazoa; Chordata; Mammalia; Rodentia; Muridae. The record is from RefSeq and is a predicted model, not a curated record.
AUAAAACAGGUCCUGGAGUCCGUGGAAGAGCACUUGCCUACAAUGCACCAGGUCCUGGGUUCAAUUCGACACUACCAACCAACAACAGCAAAAACUAAAGGCUUCUCAGAUAGCUGCAGAAGUACAGAAAAUGCAGAGCAUGGCGAAGCUGAGCUGUAAUUCAGAAGCCAGGUUCAAGAAAGUGCCAGCAUAGAAUCUCUGAAAACCACUAGGAGCUCCUGGGAAGAAAAUUUCGCAGCUGAGAGCCAGGCCUUCAAAAGGGCUGUUUUCCCUAGAAAUUUCAGUGGGUGCAGAAAACCACAGUCACUGAUCACUCAGUGUCAGAGUGAACCAAAGGAGUCUUGCUUUCAAAAUGGAAAAGCCUUUGAAAAUGCCUUCUUCAAGCUAUGGUUUCCUUCUUAUGCCUGCAUGAGGAUAAUUCUUGAAAAGGAUGCAGCAGUUAAGUUUAGGACAAACUCUUUCCUCAAGAAUUGAGUCAAUGUAUCAAUGAUAAGAACACAUAAAGUUAUUGUUUAAAUUUU